Molecule: ribosomal RNA, 439 nt
Filed under: uncultured bacterium
Lineage: Bacteria
Description: partial 16S ribosomal RNA
Rfam family: Bacterial small subunit ribosomal RNA
Source: RNAcentral
CUACGGGGUGCUCCAGUGAGGAAUAUUGCACAAUGGGGGGAACCCUGAUGCAGCAACGCCGCGUGGAGGAUGACGCAUUUCGGUGUGUAAACUCCUUUUAUAUGUCAAGAAAAUGACGGUAGCAUAUGAAUAAGCACCAGCUAACUCCGUGUCAGCAGCCGCGGUAAUACGGAGGGUGCAAGCGUUACUCGGAAUCACUGGGCGUAAAGGACGCGUAGGCGGGUUGGAAAGUCAGGUGUGAAAUCCUACAGCUUAACUGUAGAACUGCACUUGAAACUUCUAAUCUAGAGUAUGGGAGGGGGAGAUGGAAUUAGUGGUGUAGGGGUAAAAUCCGUAGAUAUCACUAGGAAUACCUAAAGCGAAGGCGAUCUCCUGGAACAUUACUGACGCUAAGGCGUGAAAGCGUGGGGAGCAAACAGGAUUAGAUACCCUAGUAGUC